RNAcentral lists this transfer RNA (92 nucleotides) under Pseudodesulfovibrio aespoeensis. Its description in RNAcentral is "tRNA-Ser". It matches the Rfam family "tRNA". From Rfam's summary of the family: Transfer RNA (tRNA) molecules are approximately 80 nucleotides in length. Their secondary structure includes four short double-helical elements and three loops (D, anti-codon, and T loops). The record is from RNAcentral. Lineage: Bacteria; Pseudomonadati; Thermodesulfobacteriota; Desulfovibrionia; Desulfovibrionales; Desulfovibrionaceae. RNAcentral also lists the same sequence under 3 other names.
GGAGAGGUGUCCGAGUACGGUUUAAGGAGCACGCCUGGAAAGCGUGUUUGGGGGGAACUCCAACGGAGGUUCAAAUCCUCUCCUCUCCGCCA